UCAUCUGCGGUCGGAGUGAGUCGGGUCAUGCGUCGUGCUCUGGCUGACUCCUGCGCCAUGCCCGGUGACCCCGGUCUUGCGGCUGGGUGUGGGUGUUUGCUUUAGCUGCAGCGUAGCCGGUAGUGUUCCCUCACAUCUCGAGAUCCGCAUCCCGUCCUUCUCUCUCCUCCUCCUUUCUCCUCGUCAGCCAUCAAUCCGCCUCCUCGCUGCUCCGUUUACUCCACCGAUUUCUCUCCGGCUGCCGGCCUCCCAGCCCCCCCACCCCACAACGGCAUUUCUUGAGGAGCAGCGCGAGCGAGGCCAACAGGCGGAAGGAGCGGAUCGUGGCCUCGCACGUUGGCUCGUCAUCUGCUUUGGCACCUUUCGGAUCCGCGCUGCUGCGUGCGAUGGUUCUAAAUCAGUGCAGGUCGUCACCGCGGGAUAGUAGGGCCGGCGGAUUCUUCGCAUCGGGGGCUGGCUGGCAGGGGAGGGUCAGGAGGCCGGCAUGACUUGCUAACAAGCAGAGGUCGGCUGCGCUCUCACUUUGACCGCUUUGCUCUCUUUCUCCUCCUCGUUGUGUUGCGCUCUCUCUCUCUCUCUUCGAUUGGAUUGCCUCUCCUUCACCGGUGGUGUGCUCUCGUCGGCUGCAAUGUCGCCCAUACUCUGGAUGGGACUGCUGGUUGAUUAUCUUGCCAUCCUCUCCUGCGUCCACUAUCGCGUCGUUCUGCCUUCGGCGAUUAAUUGAGGAUGGAGCAGCAGGCAUAGAUGAAAUCUACUGCCGAUUUCUAUUGGUUGCGGCAUCUUCCGCUGAGUAACUCUACAAAACAGCCUGCUAGCAUUGAUUCUUGCAAUAAAAAAAUAAGUCUGGCAUCAGUCAUAAAAAGCUUAUAGACUUAGAUAAUUUCUUAAUCCUGCACUGGUUCUCACGAGUGAGAUUGUAGAUGUGGUAUUUUGAGAAUACCAGUGUAAUUCACUGGUCCAAAAGCUCCAUUUCUUAAUGUGUUUUUGCAGAAUGUUACCAGUAAUGUUUUUCUUUUCCUUAAUGUACAAACAUGUCUAUUAGAUAUGAUUUUGGAUCUGAACUUUUCCCUGUCUGCAGCUCACAUUGUGGAAUGGUCAUGGUACAGCAAAAGGAAAAGAUGUUUAAACUUUUUUGGGCGUCAUACAUGAAAAGUACCUUUAUUUCCAUCGAGCUUAAUUACUAAGAAAAUGUUACCACUAUUUCCUUACUAAUAAACCUAAAUGUUCUGAAAGUUUGGUCUCUUGCUCUCUUUGCUUAUGAAUCGGACACUUUCCCUUUCUUUAGUCCUUACACGGUUCCACCUCGCUUUGACUUCAUACUUUGAUGGUGUUUGUAGGUAUGAGGAGUGGUCAUAAUGUUACUUAAAGGAGGCCUCAACUUGCACCAAAUACAUGGGCAUGUGCAACAACAACUUAUGUAGGUCUCUAAAAACUAAUAAAUGCUGCUCUCAAAUCAGUUAGGAGGCUGAAGGUAGUAGCUUACUGAACUCUCAUUUCCGGAAAAAUCUGGAGAUGAUCAACUUGCUCCGACAUAGUUAGUCUUUCUAGACUAAUUGUUUGUCAGUAUCUAUUCUAUACAUGUGUUUGAUUGGUUGUGCAAACAUGCAUGCAUUGUUCUGUGUGGAAAUUGCUUUAUCCGGUCUGUUCUAUAGCAAUGCCUCCAGUGGCUGUUUAGCACAUAUAUUUAGAUAGUUGCAUACGCAUGCUUGGUUCUGCCAGAAAAUUAUCUUCCCUGAUAUGUUUUCAGAUGCUAUUUGGUAUACAUGUUUGUCUUUGUCAUCUUUAUGUUGAGUUGUGGGUUUCAAAGGUAUUUAUGAUGAUCGUUUGCAUGGUGGUUCGUCAGCGAUGUGCGUUGCAUAUUCAUGAUUCAAACUCUUUGUUGGGUAUAUAUCUAUAUGAAGUUGUUUUUGAAUGGCCCAUGAUUCGUUUUUUAUUAGUAUUUUAGUUUAAUCAUUUCUCCAGAGAAUCUUGAUAUCCAGCUAUAUAUAUAUCCAGUCAUGUUUUUUUACUCUGAUUUCUUUUUUGUUUUGUUUUACAGUUUGUACAAUCUCUAAAGAUGGUGCUCCAUUGUUCUGUUAAUCAAGAUUUAUUCCCUCCUUUCUUACUAGCUGAUACGUCAUGACUGUUUGCAUGGGGGGUUAUGUUAACUAUACUCUAUUCAUGAUUCAAACUGUUUGUUGGGUAAUUUAGUUUAGACAUUGUGUCCUGAGAAUCUUGAUAUCUAGCUGUAUCGGUAUAGUAUAGUUUGAGAUUUUUCCCUCUGAAUUUAUAUAUCCACUCAGGUUGGGAUAGGUUAUGAAUAUUCUUAGUGUGCAAACAGCAGCAGUGCUGCACUUUCAUCAGAUGAUGAUAUGCCAACCUUGUGCCAUUUGGCUCUAUGUUACCCGAAUAAGAUAACAAAAUACACAUGCUCAAUUAUAUAUUUUCAAAGA
This is a long non-coding RNA of Triticum urartu, 2432 nucleotides long. RefSeq lists it as uncharacterized. Lineage: Eukaryota; Viridiplantae; Streptophyta; Magnoliopsida; Poales; Poaceae. The record is from RefSeq and is a predicted model, not a curated record.